UCUUGGAUCCACGGGGACGAACACUUGCCCCGCCUUUGGCUCGGCUUUUCAUCCGAGGCAGCGGGGUCUCCCCAGGCCAUCUGGUCCAGUGCCAACAGGCAAACAGGCACCCGCUGUAAACUUGCCACAUUUAGCAGCCGUGUCGCUUUGCGAGAAAGCCUUCCCUCUUAACGGAAUGUCCCCAGGGAGGGCAGGCCAAAUUAUAAAGAGAUCAAGACAAGACAUCUCUCCUCCGCGACUCAAGAUUGUUCUACGGAAGAAACCAGAAAAGACAAUACCUCUCACUCGUGCAAGGGGAAGAGGGCAGUCAUUUACCUAAGUAUGCCCAGGGACUGUCCACUUCCGGUCCUGGCCACAAAGCUCAAAACGUUUGCUCGCCACAGCCCCUGGCGAUGAUGAUCACUUCUGGCAUUUCCAG
Molecule: long non-coding RNA, 418 nt
Organism: Neofelis nebulosa (Clouded leopard)
Lineage: Eukaryota; Metazoa; Chordata; Mammalia; Carnivora; Felidae
Exons: 2
Source: RefSeq, a predicted model, not a curated record